UACGUAGGGGGCUAGCGUUGUCCGGAAUCAUUGGGCGUAAAGCGCGUGUAGGCGGCUCGAUAAGUCUGCUGUGAAAGUCCAGGGCUCAACCCUGGGAUGCCGGUGGAUACUGUCGAGCUCGAGUCCGGAAGAGGCGAGUGGAAUUCCUGGUGUAGCGGUGAAAUGCGCAGAUAUCAGGAGGAACACCAAUUGCGAAGGCAGCUCGCUGGGACGUUACUGACGCUGAGACGCGAAAGCGUGGGGAGCAAACAGG
This 253-nucleotide ribosomal RNA is filed under the name uncultured bacterium. RNAcentral describes it as "partial 16S ribosomal RNA". It matches the Rfam family "Bacterial small subunit ribosomal RNA", at positions 524 to 776 of the family's 1533-position model. The record is from RNAcentral.